This 78-nucleotide transfer RNA is filed under the name Candidatus Omnitrophota bacterium. RNAcentral describes it as "Candidatus Omnitrophica bacterium tRNA-Val". It matches the Rfam family "tRNA". Rfam says of the family: Transfer RNA (tRNA) molecules are approximately 80 nucleotides in length. Their secondary structure includes four short double-helical elements and three loops (D, anti-codon, and T loops). Lineage: Bacteria; Pseudomonadati; Candidatus Omnitrophota. The record is from RNAcentral.
GGGCGAUUAGCUCAGAUUGGUUAGAGCGCUACCUUGACAUGGUAGAGGUCACAGGUUCGACUCCUGUAUCGCCCACCA